UUUCCGUAGGUGAACCUGCGGAAGGAUCAUUAUUGUAUAAUCGAGGUGCGAGGGCUGUCGCUGACAAGACAGGUCGUGCACGCACGAGUGCACUGAAACACAUCCAUCUCCGACUUAUGUGUACCUCCGCGCGGGUCCACAUCUGGCUAGGUCGGAGGGGGGCUCAUGUUUUCACACAAGCUAUGUAUGCAGUGUAGAAUGUGUUUUUUGUUUUUGAGAUCACGCAAUUAAUACCAUUUUCUACAACCGAUCUCUUGUCUCUCGCACCGAUGAUGAACG
RNAcentral lists this unclassified non-coding RNA (279 nucleotides) under plant metagenome. RNAcentral describes it as "partial contains small subunit ribosomal RNA, internal transcribed spacer 1, and 5.8S ribosomal RNA". The record is from RNAcentral.